RNAcentral lists this unclassified non-coding RNA (213 nucleotides) under Dioszegia sp. RNAcentral's name for it is "partial internal transcribed spacer region". The stretch from base 1 to 46 matches the Rfam family "Eukaryotic small subunit ribosomal RNA", at positions 1786 to 1831 of the family's 1831-position model. The record is from RNAcentral. Lineage: Eukaryota; Fungi; Basidiomycota; Tremellomycetes; Tremellales; Bulleribasidiaceae.
AAGUCGUAACAAGGUUUCCGUAGGUGAACCUGCGGAAGGAUCAUUAAUAAAUGGCGAAGCUCGCAAGAGCCUAGCUUUAUAUUAUUCCAUCAACACCUGUGAACUAUUUGCCUUCUUGUCAUGAGAAGGUACAAAACCUUACAAACAUAACUGUAACGAAUGUAAUCUAUUAUAAUAAUAAUACAACUUUCAACAACGGAUCUCUUGGCUCUC